AACAAUGAAGCGAGUGGCGAACUGGUGAGUAACACGUGGGRAAUCUGCCCAGAAGCAGGGGAUAACACUUGGAAACAGGUGCUAAUACCGUAUAACAACAAAAUCCGCAUGGAUUUUGUUUGAAAGGUGGCUUCGGCUAUCACUUCUGGAUGAUCCCGCGGCGUAUUAGUUAGUUGGUGAGGUAAAGGCCCACCAAGACGAUGAUACGUAGCCGACCUGAGAGGGUAAUCGGCCACAUUGGGACUGAGACACGGCCCAAACUCCUACGGGAGGCAGCAGUAGGGAAUCUUCCACAAUGGACGAAAGUCUGAUGGAGCAAUGCCGCGUGAGUGAAGAAGGGUUUCGGCUCGUAAAACUCUGUUGUUAAAGAAGAACACCUUUGAGAGUAACUGUUCAAGGGUUGACGGUAUUUAACC
This 416-nucleotide ribosomal RNA is filed under the name Levilactobacillus brevis. RNAcentral describes it as "bacterial SSU rRNA". The record is from RNAcentral. Lineage: Bacteria; Bacillati; Bacillota; Bacilli; Lactobacillales; Lactobacillaceae.